Molecule: long non-coding RNA, 522 nt
Filed under: Carica papaya (papaya)
Lineage: Eukaryota; Viridiplantae; Streptophyta; Magnoliopsida; Brassicales; Caricaceae
Description: long non-coding RNA (CPAP_LNC002100)
Source: RNAcentral
AAAUAAAAUAAAAGUGGAAUGAAGCCUGAAUGAUCCGAAGUAUGUACGUAUCUAUAUUAACAUGCAUAUUGUAUCAAUGUCUCGUUAGGAUUCUUAUCUAUGAGGGUAUAUGUUUUUCCCUCCCCCAUCUAGUAUGGAAAGAUGUGAGAAGACCACUGUUUGUGGAUGACAGCGUACCCUCUGAUGAGAGCGGUGACGCAGAUAUCUAUUAGGAGUCACCUUUGGCUAAGUACUGUCGUGACUAUAGAAUAUCUGAUAGGACCACUAUGGUUGGUACGACCGUGGUCAUAGAUCGUACAUUGGUUUGGUAAGCCAGAAUUGUGCUUGAGCAAAUUAUUGUUAUCUGUAUCGAAUCUGGUCAUUCCACUUGGGUAGUCAGCAAUUCAUAUCUACCCUCAGAUAUGGAAGUCAGAACGACUUCGCGAAGCAUAACACAAAAAUCUGAGUAUUUAUGAUUUAUUUGAUUUUCUCUAUCGUCAAACAUGAUGUUUGUUUUUUAUUGUUGUGACUAUGACAUGAUGU